RNAcentral lists this long non-coding RNA (201 nucleotides) under Carica papaya (papaya). RNAcentral describes it as "long non-coding RNA (CPAP_LNC010428)". The record is from RNAcentral. Lineage: Eukaryota; Viridiplantae; Streptophyta; Magnoliopsida; Brassicales; Caricaceae.
GAGCACAUCGUGUGGCAAAACACGCUGACAUUGGCACCACGCGGGUAGACGAUUCGCAUGUCUGACGAUCCGACAGUCCCGAUCACAUCCCAUGCGCACGGAUGGUUCAUAUGCAUUUUAUCUUUAAACACAAUCAGACGAACGAGAUCAAUUAUGAUGAACGGUCCAGAUUUGUCCACAUAAUCGGUCUAAAUAGGCAAC